AACGCGAAGAACCUUACCUGGGCUUGAACUACUGGUAGUAAGUCCUUGGAAACAGGGGCUGAUCCGCAAGGAAGCCAGCAGAGGUGCUGCAUGGUUGUCGUCAGCUCGUGUCGUGAGAUGUUGGGUUAAGUCCCGCAACGAGCGCAACCCCUCUCUCAUGUUGCUAUCCCCGCAAGGGGAGCACUCUUGAGAUACUGCCUUCGAUAAGAAGGAGGAAGGUGGGGACGACGUCAAAUCCUCAUGGCCCUUAUGUCCAGGGCUACACACGUGCUACAAUGGCCGGUACAACGGGAAGCAAUACCGCAAGGUGGAGCCAAACCCUGAAAGCCGGCCCCAGUUCAGAUUGUGGGCUGCAACUCGCCCACAUGAAGGUGGAAUCGCUAGUAAUCGCGAAUCAGCAGGUCGCGGUGAAUACGUUCCCGGGCCUUGUACACACCGUACGUC
This 444-nucleotide ribosomal RNA is filed under the name uncultured bacterium. Its description in RNAcentral is "bacterial SSU rRNA". It matches the Rfam family "Bacterial small subunit ribosomal RNA", at positions 958 to 1398 of the family's 1533-position model. The record is from RNAcentral.